GAAAUGCGAUAAGUAAUGUGAAUUGCAGAAUUCAGUGAAUCAUCGAAUCUUUGAACGCACAUUGCGCCCGCCAGUAUUCUGGCGGGCAUUCCUGUUCGAGCGUCAUUACAACCCUCAGGCCCCCGGGCCUGGCGUUGGGGAUCGGCGGAAGCCCCCUGCGGGCACAACGCCGUCCCCCAAAUACAGUGGCGGUCCCGCCGCAGCUUCCAUUGCGUAGUAGCUAACACCUCGCAACUGGAGAGCGGCGCGGCCACGCCGUAAAACACCCAACUUCUGAAUGUUGACCUCGAAUCAGGUAGGAAUACCCGCUGAACUUAAGC
This 320-nucleotide unclassified non-coding RNA is filed under the name plant metagenome. RNAcentral describes it as "partial contains 5.8S ribosomal RNA, internal transcribed spacer 2, and large subunit ribosomal RNA". The stretch from base 1 to 105 matches the Rfam family "5.8S ribosomal RNA", at positions 50 to 154 of the family's 154-position model. The record is from RNAcentral.